Schizosaccharomyces pombe (fission yeast) is the source of this 460-nucleotide non-coding RNA. The record is from the annotation of a GenBank genome assembly. NCBI's taxonomy places the organism in Eukaryota, Fungi, Ascomycota, Schizosaccharomycetes, Schizosaccharomycetales, Schizosaccharomycetaceae.
UGAAGAAGUAAUUAUGUGGCGCUCGACAAAUUUAAGAAUAUUGUCCUGGGCUUGUUGCUCAGUAAUAUGAACUAUGUCAGUGGAUUUAACGGCAACUCCAUUUUUGUAUUCAAUUGCCCAAGGUUUGACUUUACACUGUUGAAAUGCAGCAUCAUUAGGGACCAAGACAGUGAUAUGCUGAUCUUUUUGUUGGAAGAGAUGAACAUAAUCAGGAAACUGCAUUAUAAGCUCAGAAAAAAUGUUGCAAUCUCUUGUUUCGGCAAGCAAUUCAAAGAGCCUUGGUUCACGAACUUCUUGCAUAUUGAUAGGUCUUUGGUUAAAAGAGAGUACUGCACUAAUAAAACUCGUAGUAUAAAGGAAACGAAAGAUGUUUAGACAAAACAGCUUCAUCAUUUUGGAGGGUGUUAUUAAAGACACACUGCUUUAACAAAUGGUAAUCUUAAAAAGAAAAAAUCAAUUG